RNAcentral lists this non-coding RNA (32 nucleotides) under Homo sapiens (human). Lineage: Eukaryota; Metazoa; Chordata; Mammalia; Primates; Hominidae. The record is from RNAcentral.
UUGAGGACUCAAAGCUCAAAGCCUCUGCUGGA